ACCAAAUGUUAUUUUUUGGGUGAAAUAUUCCUUUAAGAUAAAUAUCAUUCAGUACAUUAGAAUUUCAAUUAAUUUUACAGCACAGACCACAGAAUUCCAUGGCCAGUCAACAUUAACCUCUCCAGCAUCCUCAGCAUGCUCCUCAAUCUCAAUCUCACCCAGCCACCUAAUUACUGCUGCAGAUUGGGUUGACAGCUUCCAGGUUCCAUGGGAGAAGCUUCCUGAAGCCUUGAUGCAGUGUUUGGAGAGAGGGAAAAGGCCAAGCCCACGGUUACGUAGAGAAAUGAUCAGGAUUGUCGCUUCUGAGAUGAUGCAUGCCUGUGCUUCUCCCAAUAGACAAGCCUCGACAGAAGUUGCCAAGAAAAUGGUUGGAAAGUAUCCGCAGUCACUGCAAGAUGUCAUAGAAGGUGAUGUGAUAGGACCAGGAUAUCACUCACUGGUCAAGCAGUUACAAGCUCGAAUUGAAAAUGUAAAGUGGUCUUCAGUACCACGGAUAUUGAAGCGCAAACGGGUGUCAGAUGAGUAUGAUACUGAUGAAAUCCCAGCUGAACGAAGGGCAGCUGUUCAGGACACAUAUGGCUGCAUACAGUGGGACAUGAAAUUCAUGCCAGUGAGUGAGACACUGGAAAGUCAACAGGAGAAAAAAGAUAAACUGAAGGUGCUCAGUGAACAGGCAACCAUCAGUCCAGAGGAGGUAAAAACUCUUAUGAAGUUCACCUACUUUUCCCAGUGUAAGGCAAUAAACAGUGGAACAGUCAUGGAAGAGUGGCCUUUUUUGUUUAAGGAGACUGGCAUGAUGGUUCACUUUCAUGACCUUACUGGUGUAUCACUAAAAGAGACUUUCCUCAGUGAUGUGGAAAAAAGGAAAACGUGUUCUGGACUUCCUGAGAGGUGUUUGUGCAGACAAGAGCAAACAAGUUUUGCAGGCUGUCACAAAGUUAAAAAUUUUGAGAGGACAGUUGGAGGGCUGCUCAGAAGAUGUUAAGGAUCUGGUGCUCCUCCUACUGUCCUAUUUUAAUGAAAAAGAGGAGAACCUCUUCUACUAUGUUGAAGAAAGUACAAGUGGAAAGCUUGCCUGUGACACCAUGUGUCAUUGUAUGUGGAACAUCAUGUUAUGCUGCAAAGCAAUUCAUGCUCAGUGUAGACCAAAAAAUUGUGAACGACCAGAUCCCCACCUUCAUCACUGCUGUCUGCAUGAUGUUUGCAAGCUAUUACUGCCUCAAUAUCCACUAUCCUGUGGGUCUGGGCUCCACACUUGAGUUCCUUCAGAGGUGUUUCUUCAACAUCAAUCCUGAGAAGGGCACAAAAGUGGAAACGAAGAAAAACAAGAAGCAACUGUCAGUGAAUCCAAGAGUCCUCACCCUCAUCGCUGAUGUCUCUGAUCAUGAGUGGAGAGAGACAUGUUAAAUAUGGACCUUCAGUUAACAUCCAUAACACUUAAACAGCACUAGUUGUAUGGAACAGUAUCUAUUUUACUGUACCUACUGUUCUGUUAACCACUAACAGGUUUUGGGUUAACGUUACUGUUUUAAUAAGCAUUGUUUUGGUUUUGUUAAAUUGACAAACUGGCUUAUUAUUAAAAGUUACUAAUGUCUAAUGAUUACCUAAGGCCAAUGUAAUAGAAUAUUUUGUUAAUUUUUAUUAGAGGCUGCGUUUGUUCAGUUAGGUCGAAACAAAUUGAGGGAAAUACCAACUUUACUUGCAUAUUUCUGAUUUUUGAACUACCUGCAUAUAAUGCAAUGUGUGUUUAAUUUUGGCUUUUGAGAAGUUUGUCAUUUGAAAAUUUGAAGAGUCUGAUACUAGUAGGAAGUUCAGAGUGUUUGGCUGUCCACAUGCUGAGGUUAAUUUAAAGUUCUGGAAAACAUAUUCUGGACCUUUUUUAGUGAUUUUUGUGACCGUUCAGAUUAGGUACAUGGUUGGUGUCAUUGCUAAGAUCUAAGAAACUACUUUAAAGUAAGUAAACUGAACAUUAUCAAAUCCUUUAUGUUAAAAGUAUGUUGUCUUUAUACAGACACUAGCUGAAUACACUUCUGUUGUGUAAGUUAUCUUGUCAUAAUAAUUGUAAAAGUUGACUUUCACUUCUGUCACGUUUUAGGCAGCGCUUUCAAACUCAUGAGUGGUUGUUUACUUGGAGGAAACAACUUGCUUGGACCUUUGUGACACCAAAGAAAGUGCAGCAGUAGGGAUCAACAGGAAACACAGUGAAAAAGACCAGGAUUGCAGCACCAGGCCGUGGAAUCAAACUUUGGUCGCUGCAAUGUGUGUUGUGUUCUAGCAGAGGUUGCACAUGACGGCCCUCAUCAAUCUCUUUUUCCUGCAAGUCUCCUUUUGGAUUAGAUAUAUUUAUAAAUAGCGAGAGGAUCAUGUCAUCAUGUCAAAGCACAAUCUGUUGGCAAUUUAUGAUUCUUCAAGAAGAAACAAUGACAACACCUGCUCAAAAUUCCAGUUUUCAGAACAGUGCUACCUGUCUGAAAGAGCCUCUGUCCCACCUCUCUUCAGUAAAGUCUGGAGCCAGUAAUUCAGACACCAGUCUCAAGGAUAAAUAUUGAGAGAUCAUGCCGGUCCACAGUGACUACAUGCGAGUCCUCAGGUAGUACACGUGACAAUGCAAGCUUUACGUUUCCAGUUUCUCGAACCAACUCAGUCCCAUAUCUUCAGUCAAGUGUGGACUUAUUACUAUUGUUCAA
Long non-coding RNA from Onychostoma macrolepis, 2687 nucleotides. RefSeq lists it as uncharacterized. The record is from RefSeq and is a predicted model, not a curated record. The transcript has 7 exons. NCBI's taxonomy places the organism in Eukaryota, Metazoa, Chordata, Actinopteri, Cypriniformes, Cyprinidae.